This 500-nucleotide ribosomal RNA is filed under the name uncultured Glomeromycotina. RNAcentral's name for it is "partial small subunit ribosomal RNA". It matches the Rfam family "Eukaryotic small subunit ribosomal RNA", at positions 591 to 1092 of the family's 1831-position model. The record is from RNAcentral. Lineage: Eukaryota; Fungi; Glomeromycota.
CCAAUAGCGUAUAUUAAAGUUGUUGCAGUUAAAAAGCUCGUAGUUGAAUUUCGGGAUCAAUAUAUCGGUCGUGCCUUCGGUAUGCACUGGUAUUAUUGAUUUCUACCUUCUGACGAACCAUGAUGUCAUUAAUUUGGUGUCAUGGGAAAUCAGGACUGUUACUUUGAAAAAAUUAGAGUGUUUAAAGCAGGCACACGCUUGAAUACAUUAGCAUGGAAUAAUGAAAUAGGACGUUUGACCCUAUUUUGUUGGUUUCUAGGAUCGACGUAAUGAUUAAUAGGGAUAGUUGGGGGCAUUAGUAUUCAAUUGUCAGAGGUGAAAUUCUUGGAUUUAUUGAAGACUAACUACUGCGAAAGCAUUUGCCAAGGAUGUUUUCAUUAAUCAAGAACGAAAGUUAGGGGAUCGAAGACGAUCAGAUACCGUCGUAGUCUUAACCAUAAACUAUGCCGACUAGGGAUCGGAUGAUGUUAAUUUUUUAAUGACUCAUUCGGCGCCUUACG